AUCCAGCUGAGAGCCCCAAAUAGGAUGAAACGCGAGUCCUGGAU
RNAcentral lists this non-coding RNA (44 nucleotides) under Schistosoma mansoni. Lineage: Eukaryota; Metazoa; Platyhelminthes; Trematoda; Strigeidida; Schistosomatidae. The record is from RNAcentral.